GGCGUGUUGGUCAAUCGGUUACGACGCCUCCCUUUCACGGAGGAAGGACGGGUUCGACUCCCGUACAUGCUACAA
This 75-nucleotide transfer RNA is filed under the name Taibaiella soli. Its description in RNAcentral is "tRNA-Glu". It matches the Rfam family "tRNA". From Rfam's summary of the family: Transfer RNA (tRNA) molecules are approximately 80 nucleotides in length. Their secondary structure includes four short double-helical elements and three loops (D, anti-codon, and T loops). Further hydrogen bonds mediate the characteristic L-shaped molecular structure. tRNAs have two regions of fundamental functional importance: the anti-codon, which is responsible for specific mRNA codon recognition, and the 3' end, to which the tRNAs corresponding amino acid is attached (by aminoacyl-tRNA synthetases). tRNAs cope with the degeneracy of the genetic code in two manners: having more than one tRNA (with a specific anti-codon) for a particular amino acid; and 'wobble' base-pairing, i.e. permitting non-standard base-pairing at the 3rd anti-codon position. The record is from RNAcentral. Lineage: Bacteria; Pseudomonadati; Bacteroidota; Chitinophagia; Chitinophagales; Chitinophagaceae.